RNAcentral lists this transfer-messenger RNA (404 nucleotides) under Muribaculaceae. RNAcentral describes it as "CAG-485 sp014800535 Standard tmRNA". It matches the Rfam family "transfer-messenger RNA". Rfam says of the family: Bacterial tmRNA, also known as 10Sa RNA or SsrA, is named for its dual tRNA and mRNA-like properties. Lineage: Bacteria; Pseudomonadati; Bacteroidota; Bacteroidia; Bacteroidales. RNAcentral also lists the same sequence under 1 other name. The record is from RNAcentral.
GGGGAUGACUGGCUUUGACAGCGUGUAGAAGCGGUAAGUAAGCAUGCAGAGCUUUGGUGUUCAAGCUCUAUAAUAACAAGAGCAUCGAACUAUAAUUGGCGAAAAUAACAAUUACGCUCUCGCUGCGUAAUCCGAAGUACAGUAGGAUUCCUUUAUUCUCCUCAAAGUGAGGAGAACGAGACACCAUCCCAUUGCCCCGUUCCGAGACGUUUGGACAAGAUGGUGCAGAGAAAAUCGGAAAUUGGAGACCGGAAGCCUUGGCCGGAAUCUGAAAUUUAAAGGAUAAGGGUAAUAUUGGUGGUCGUGAGCCUGUAUUACUUCGAAAAUCAAGUCAAUGACUAAGCAUGUAGAAAGCUUAUUGAUUCCACGUUUGGACGAGGGUUCAAACCCCUCCAUCUCCACUA